GGGCAGGGUCAGUCACAGCUGCGUGGGAAAUAAGGAAGCGUCAGGACCAAUGUCAGCAGCUAUCCAGGCCUCUUGAAGAACCGAAUGCAGUUCAUUGCUGUUCAUCCAUCCAAUGGUUAUUUGCAGCUUCCUGUGUGGGGCCACUGUGAGCACUGGGGACCACGGAGAAGGGUGGCUACCUGGUCCCUGGAAUUUGGUGUCCUCUGCUCCCUCUUCUACUCACUCUGUCCUCUUUAUCCCUCAACUUUCCUAUCUACCUUUUCACUCCUCUUUUUUAUUUCUUUUCCUGGUACUUUUACUGCCUUCUUGGUGUCUUGUACUCAAAAUGCCCUGGGAGAGAAUCCGACGCCUUUGGUUGGUUGCUCUCUGUCCUGGGGCAUGUCUCCAGGCAGACUUCUGGCACCAGCCUUUCUUGUAUCCUUAGGCCCCAGUUACACGGUAACUGGAGGUGGUCCACUCAGAUGUAUCCCAGCCAACGGAGGGACAGCGAACGCCUGAGGAAUUGCCUGAGCACUGUGUUCUCAAAAAGAGGCUGAGGUUCUGGAGGUUAGAAGUCUGAAGUGAGUCCUACAGAGUUGAAUUGAGCUGUCGCAGGCCAGGCUCCCUUGGGAGACCGCACGGGAGAAAUCUGUUCUUUGGUUCUUCCAGCUCCUAGAGGCUGCUUCAGUCCAAUCCCUGUUUCCAUCAUCUGCUUGCCUUCUCCUGUCCCUGACCUUCCUGUGUUCUUCUUGGGGGACCCUUGCGAUGACAUUGGCCCCACCUGGGUAAUCCAGGACAAUCUCCCUGAUGCAGACCCUGGACUUGAUUAUAUCUGCCAAAAUCUCUACUGCCAUUUAAGACAUCAUCCCCGGGUUCUGGGGUUUGGUGGUCGACAUCUUUGGAGAGUUAUUAUUUAAUCUAACACAGAGUCGUGUCUAUUGCGGUUUAGAUCAAAGGGUUUUACUCUUGAAAGCAUUCAGUGGAACAAUUCAGGAAAUUCCUAACAGGUGAUGGCAACACGAUGGGAGUUGCCGGUAUUUCUACUGGAACUAGACCUAGAGGGUGGUCUCCAGUGACCGGCUCGCUGGCCAAUUGGCACAAAAGCUUCACUGUUGAUGAUCCAGUCUUCAGCUUUGAAGUGUCAAACAGUUGACAUCACUCUGAGAGCGGGACUUGUAGGGACUAAUUCACAAAGUUCACGAGAGACUCACAUGUAAAACCGGAAUGCCAGUUUAUGACUUGACCAAGGUAAAAAAUUAGUUUCCAGUAAAGCAGGUUAAGAGACCCGUGGUGCCUCUGAGCAACAAGUUAGCAACUUCUCUAGACCUUGCUUUAGUCAAAUGGGAAUAAGGGAGCACAGUUAGCCCUGUGGACCGUGGAGUUUUGUGUCCACAGAAUCAACCUCCUGUGGAUUAAAAAUAUUUGGAAAAAAAUAAUAACCCCAGAAAGUUCCAAAAAAGCAAAACUUGAAUUUGCCACGCGCUGAGCACAAAGUUCAAUGCUUGCAACUGAAGCGACGGGGAGGCAUACCCUGCUGUAGCCUAUAUGCAAAUAUGGGUUAAGUACAAAAGCUACGCAGUUUUAUGUCAGAAACUUCAGCAUCCUUAGAUUUGGGUAUCUUUUAGUGGGGGGGUGUCCCAGAACCAACUCCCCGCAGGUGCAGAGGGACCACUGUAUCAAUAGAACGGGGUUAUGUGCAGAGUGAUUGAGAGAAUGCAUGGAAAAUGUUUGGUUGGCACAAAUGGGGUCACCUCAUUAUUCACAUCAUUUUGCAACUGAGGAAACUGAGGCUGAGAACACUUGACUCACUCCCAUUGGCAGAGAGGAGCUGGAACGAGGUUGCUGAUGCUAUUGCUGAAAGAGCUGGUUAGUCUUCCGUCUCAGCAGUGAGCUUCAUACUGAGGGUCUUUCUACUCCCCGGGCAAAGCUGCCCGUCGUUACCCCACUGUACAGGCAGCACAAGCCUCACUUUCAAACCUGAUUAUUCACCUGACUGGAAGACUGUAGCUCUCUGUUGAAUCCUUUUUGCUACUAAAUAUAAAAUCUCUCUUGAAUCCUUUUGCUACUAAAUAUAAAAUCUCUAGGCAAGUGCCCUCUUUAUAGCUCAGAAUAUUUUUCUCAGGUCAGUAAUUGCAGAAGAAUGAUGUGUGGCAAUUGAAGUCUAAAUUCACUGUCAUUGUUUCAGACUUCCCCUGUUUCUCAUUGUUGUCUUUUAACUCAUCACCCGGCACAGACAUUUUUUUUCUUUAACGUAUGACUUUAAAGUGUGAUUUUUAUGCCCUGGCAAGUACAGGUCAGUUGGUUGGUCAUAGUCCUGUGCACCGAAAUGUUCAUGGUUCAAUUCCCAGUCAGAGGCACAGUCCCUGGUAGGGGGCGUGCAGGA
Long non-coding RNA from Molossus molossus (Pallas's mastiff bat), 2362 nucleotides. RefSeq lists it as uncharacterized. The record is from RefSeq and is a predicted model, not a curated record. Lineage: Eukaryota; Metazoa; Chordata; Mammalia; Chiroptera; Molossidae. The transcript is spliced from 3 exons.